AUUUCAGUGGUAAUUCAGCAAGAUGGACGAGGAUUUCUCAGAUAUACUUGACUAUUACAUGGAACUAGAUGAGCUAGAUGAAGAACAGGACCACAACAUUUUUACAGAUGAUCAAGAAGCAACCACAAGUGUGUCAAGGGAAGAACAGAAAGAGCAGAACUCAGAAACACCAGAAAUGUCAGAAGAGGAGACUGAUUAUGAAAGUGACAGCAAUGAAAAUCAAGAUGUUCUAUCAAAA
Long non-coding RNA from Mercenaria mercenaria, 238 nucleotides. RefSeq lists it as uncharacterized. The record is from RefSeq and is a predicted model, not a curated record. The transcript has 5 exons. NCBI's taxonomy places the organism in Eukaryota, Metazoa, Mollusca, Bivalvia, Venerida, Veneridae.